Molecule: ribosomal RNA, 326 nt
Filed under: uncultured Chloroflexota bacterium
Lineage: Bacteria; Bacillati; Chloroflexota
Description: bacterial SSU rRNA
Rfam family: Bacterial small subunit ribosomal RNA
Source: RNAcentral
GAUGAACGCUGGCGGCGUGCCUAAUACAUGCAAGUCGAACGGAGAUGUUGUAGCAAUACUUCAUCUUAGUGGCGAACGGGUGAGUAACGCGUUGGUGACCUGCCCCGAAGAGGGGGAUAACAGUCCGAAAGGAUUGCUAAUACCCCAUACGGUCAUUUGGAUUAGAUGCCUUAUGACAAAAGGCGUAAGCCACUUCGGGAGGGACCUGCGUCCCAUCAGCUAGUUGGUGAGGUAACGGCCCACCAAGGCUACGACGGGUAGGGGACCUGAGAGGGUGGCCCCCCACAAUGGCACUGAAACACGGGCCAUACACCUACGGGUGGCAG